RNAcentral lists this ribosomal RNA (1372 nucleotides) under uncultured bacterium. RNAcentral's name for it is "bacterial SSU rRNA". It matches the Rfam family "Bacterial small subunit ribosomal RNA", at positions 28 to 1381 of the family's 1533-position model. The record is from RNAcentral.
GAUGAACGCUGGCGGCGUGCCUAAUACAUGCAAGUCGAGCGAACGGACGAGAAGCUUGCUUCUCUGAUGUUAGCGGCGGACGGGUGAGUAACACGUGGAUAACCUACCUAUAAGACUGGGAUAACUUCGGGAAACCGGAGCUAAUACCGGAUAAUAUUUUGAACCGCAUGGUUCAAAAGUGAAAGACGGUCUUGCUGUCACUUAUAGAUGGAUCCGCGCUGCAUUAGCUAGUUGGUAAGGUAACGGCUUACCAAGGCAACGAUGCAUAGCCGACCUGAGAGGGUGAUCGGCCACACUGGAACUGAGACACGGUCCAGACUCCUACGGGAGGCAGCAGUAGGGAAUCUUCCGCAAUGGGCGAAAGCCUGACGGAGCAACGCCGCGUGAGUGAUGAAGGUCUUCGGAUCGUAAAACUCUGUUAUUAGGGAAGAACAUAUGUGUAAGUAACUGUGCACAUCUUGACGGUACCUAAUCAGAAAGCCACGGCUAACUACGUGCCAGCAGCCGCGGUAAUACGUAGGUGGCAAGCGUUAUCCGGAAUUAUUGGGCGUAAAGCGCGCGUAGGCGGUUUUUUAAGUCUGAUGUGAAAGCCCACGGCUCAACCGUGGAGGGUCAUUGGAAACUGGAAAACUUGAGUGCAGAAGAGGAAAGUGGAAUUCCAUGUGUAGCGGUGAAAUGCGCAGAGAUAUGGAGGAACACCAGUGGCGAAGGCGACUUUCUGGUCUGUAACUGACGCUGAUGUGCGAAAGCGUGGGGAUCAAACAGGAUUAGAUACCCUGGUAGUCCACGCCGUAAACGAUGAGUGCUAAGUGUUAGGGGGUUUCCGCCCCUUAGUGCUGCAGCUAACGCAUUAAGCACUCCGCCUGGGGAGUACGACCGCAAGGUUGAAACUCAAAGGAAUUGACGGGGACCCGCACAUGCGGUGGAGCAUGUGGUUUAAUUCGAAGCAACGCGAAGAACCUUACCAAAUCUUGACAUCCUUUGACAACUCUAGAGAUAGAGCCUUCCCCUUCGGGGGACAAAGUGACAGGUGGUGCAUGGUUGUCGUCAGCUCGUGUCGUGAGAUGUUGGGUUAAGUCCCGCAACGAGCGCAACCCUUAAGCUUAGUUGCCAUCAUUAAGUUGGGCACUCUAAGUUGACUGCCGGUGACAAACCGGAGGAAGGUGGGGAUGACGUCAAAUCAUCAUGCCCCUUAUGAUUUGGGCUACACACGUGCUACAAUGGACAAUACAAAGGGCAGCGAAACCGCGAGGUCAAGCAAAUCCCAUAAAGUUGUUCUCAGUUCGGAUUGUAGUCUGCAACUCGACUACAUGAAGCUGGAAUCGCUAGUAAUCGUAGAUCAGCAUGCUACGGUGAAUACGUUCCCGGGUCU